GUUGAAAUGCGAAGAGUACGAGCACAUUCAAGAGGCAGGUCCCAUCCAUGGAACUUGAGAAGGGCGAUAUCUUCCUCUGCGUCCAGUGAAUUUAUGUAGUCUAAUGUCUCGGCAUCAUAUGGUUGCUGGGCUUGUGGCCAAUAGAGCCAGUCAAAUGUACAAUCUUCAAAACUUGUUGGCAAGCAGUAUCCAUGGUCGAUUGGAAUAAGCACAGUUUGACCCCCUUCCCUUUCUUUUCCCAAUAGAAUAUUUCCAGCAUGUCUAUCUGCAUUUGCCAAUCUAAUAUCCAAAACAGAGAUUUUGUGCACCUCCUUAGUAGGGAAAGCCCCAGCACCAAAAU
This 340-nucleotide unclassified non-coding RNA is filed under the name Hevea brasiliensis (rubber tree). Lineage: Eukaryota; Viridiplantae; Streptophyta; Magnoliopsida; Malpighiales; Euphorbiaceae. The record is from RNAcentral.